UACGUAGGGGGCAAGCGUUUGUCCGGAAUCAUUGGCGUAAAGAGCGUGUAGGCGGCCCGGUAAGUCCGCUGUGAAAGUCCAGGGCUCAACCCUGGGAUGCCGGUGGAUACUGUCGGGCUCGAGUCCGGAAGAGGCGAGUGGAAUUCCUGGUGUAGCGGUGAAAUGCGUAGAUAUCGAGAGGAACACCUGCGGCGAAGGCGGGUUGCUGGGCUGAUGACUGACGCUGAGGCGCGAAAGCCAGGGGAGCGAACGGGG
RNAcentral lists this ribosomal RNA (255 nucleotides) under uncultured bacterium. RNAcentral's name for it is "partial 16S ribosomal RNA". It matches the Rfam family "Bacterial small subunit ribosomal RNA", at positions 524 to 777 of the family's 1533-position model. The record is from RNAcentral.